RNAcentral lists this long non-coding RNA (839 nucleotides) under Chrysemys picta bellii (western painted turtle). RNAcentral's name for it is "lncRNA (ENSCPBG00000007093.1)". Lineage: Eukaryota; Metazoa; Chordata; Testudines; Emydidae. The record is from RNAcentral.
GCGCAGCGCUCUCAAGGCACAGCGCUCCCCCUCGCAGGGGCUCGCCGCUCUCGCGGAAACGAGCCUGCUGAGGAAGGGAGGCGGCGAACGUCGGGACCUUCCUCUCUGAUUGGUCUCCGCCGCUCGCUCUCUCCCCCCCCCCCGGCUCCGAGCGAGGGGAGGCGGCGAUUGGCUGCCCGGGCCUGUCAAUCGGAAAGGCCAAGUUCCAUUGCGGGAUCGCCUCGCUCCGCGAGCCGGGCUUGGCUGCUGCUGCCGCGGCGGCUGCGGGGAGCUGGCCGGCUGCUGCUGAUGGAGAAGUGAUGCUGGCUGCCGGGACCCGGGCGGCAGCAGCGGCAGGACCAGGACCAGCCGUGGGAGCCCAGCUGAACCCUCCGUGCCGCCAGCCAGGCGAAGACAGCAAAGCCAGCUGGUUUAUCAAUAUGCAACCAGCAGUUGUUCGAUAUGAGGUGGAGAAGGCGAGAUGAAAAAUGGCACAGAAUGAAGAAUUAUGAAAUUAUGGGCAUGGCACAGCUAAGCAAAGAAGAGCAAUUAAUGAAGAGAGAAAAACGGAACAUUGUCUAAGUCAGGUAAGCAAUUUAGACCAUUACCUAACAAUGUGUAAGGUGACUGAAGCUUAUUCGGAUUAUGCAAGGAUUACAGGUGCGUGCAUGCACACACACAGACAAAUGCUGGGACUUCCUUCCUGAGCAAUAUUUUCUCUGCAUUAAGUACAAACAUACUUUCUUCUGAUAUUAAACAUGCAUUUGACUUGCUUUGAAGCAUGAAUAACCCCAACUCCAGCACCUAGGUGCACUAUGGUAUGCCUCUUCCCACGCCUUCCCGCCCCUUUCCACUCCCUU